UACAGAGGUGGCAAGCGUUGUCCGGAAUUAUUGGGCGUAAAGAGCUCGUAGGCGGUCUGUUGCGUCCGCUGUGAAAACUCGGGGCUUAACCCCGAGCCUGCAGUGGAUACGGGCAGACUAGAGGUAGGUAGGGGAGAAUGGAAUUCCCGGUGUAGCGGUGAAAUGCGCAGAUAUCGGGAGGGACACCGGUGGCGAAGGCGGUUCUCUGGGCCUUACCUGACGCUGAGGAGCGAAAGCGUGGGGAGCGAACAGG
RNAcentral lists this ribosomal RNA (253 nucleotides) under uncultured bacterium. Its description in RNAcentral is "partial 16S ribosomal RNA". It matches the Rfam family "Bacterial small subunit ribosomal RNA", at positions 524 to 776 of the family's 1533-position model. The record is from RNAcentral.